This 433-nucleotide ribosomal RNA is filed under the name uncultured bacterium. Its description in RNAcentral is "partial 16S ribosomal RNA". It matches the Rfam family "Bacterial small subunit ribosomal RNA", at positions 29 to 507 of the family's 1533-position model. The record is from RNAcentral.
AGCGAACGCUGGCGGCAGGCCUAACACAUGCGAGUCGAACGAACUCUUCGGAGUUAGUGGCGGACGGGUGAGUAACACGUGGGAACGUGCCUUUUGGUUCGGAAUAACUCAGGGAAACUUGUGCUAAUACCGGAUGUGCCCUUCGGGGGAAAGAUUUAUCGCCAUUAGAGCGGCCCGCGUCUGAUUAGCUAGUUGGUGAGGUAACGGCUCACCAAGGCGACGAUCAGUAGCUGGUCUGAGAGGAUGACCAGCCACACUGGGACUGAGACACGGCCCAGACUCCUACGGGAGGCAGCAGUGGGGAAUCUUGCGCAAUGGGCGAAAGCCUGACGCAGCCAUGCCGCGUGAAUGAUGAAGGUCUUAGGAUUGUAAAAUUCUUUCACCGGGGACGAUAAUGACGGUACCCGGAGAAGAAGCCCCGGCUAACUUCGUG